Molecule: ribosomal RNA, 468 nt
Filed under: uncultured bacterium
Lineage: Bacteria
Description: partial 16S ribosomal RNA
Rfam family: Bacterial small subunit ribosomal RNA
Source: RNAcentral
GACGAACGCUGGCGGCGUGCUUAACACAUGCAAGUCGAACGGAAAGGCCAUGCUUUUGUGGCGUGCUAGAGUGGCGAACGGGUGAGUAACACGUGAGUAACCUGCCCACGACUUUGGGAUAACUUCAGGAAACUGGGGCUAAUACCGGAUAGGAGCUCCUGCUGCAUGGUGGGGGUCGGAAAGUUUCGGCGGUUGGGGAUGGACUCGCGGCUUAUCCGUCUGUUGAUGGGGUAGUGGCUUACCAAGGCUUUGACGGGUAGCAGGCCUGAGAGGGUGACCGGCCACAUUGGGAAUGAGAUACGGCCCAGACUCCUGCGGGAGGCAGCAGUGGGGAAUAUUGCAUGAUGGGCGGAAGCCGGAUGCAGCAACGCCGCGUGCGGGAUGACGGCCUUCGGGUUGUAAACCGCUUUCGCCGUUGACGAAGCGUGAGUGACGGUAAUGGAUAAAGAAGCACCGGCUAACUACGUG